GUGUGCGGCUGGCUUGUCCCGCCCCUGCCCCUGAGUGACAGAACCGUGGACAGCAACAUUUCCCACAGGACACGAAGUUUGUCGGCCCUUGCCUUGGCAGAGCUGAGGUUUACAGUGCAAACCCCCAGGAAGGAAGCUUGUGCUGCUUGUUAACAUUGGGAGGAGCAUUGGCCUACAAGCUGGAGUGCAAUGGCGCUAUCUCAGCUCACCACAACCUCUGCCUUCCUGGUUCAAGCAAUUCUCCUGCCUCAGCCUCCCGAGUAGCUGGGAUUACAGGAGUGCACCACCACACCUGGCUAAUUUUGUAUUUUUAGUACAGACGGGGUUUCUUCAUGUUGGUCAGGCUGGUCUCGAACUCCCAACCUCAGGUGAUCCGCCCGCCUCGGCCUCCCAAAGUGUUGAGAUUACAGGGGUGAGCCACCGCGUCUGGCCAAAAUUGUACUUUUGAGAUGAACAUUAAAUCCAUAAACUUUCUCAUCUAUCGAGGUCCGUUUUGGACAAAGAAAAGCUGAUUAUUUUUAGUACAUGCCACUGGAAUAUCAUUACUUGAUACUUAGAACUGUUUUU
Molecule: long non-coding RNA, 567 nt
Filed under: Homo sapiens (human)
Lineage: Eukaryota; Metazoa; Chordata; Mammalia; Primates; Hominidae
Description: non-protein coding lnc-RBM12B-10:3
Source: RNAcentral